This 75-nucleotide transfer RNA is filed under the name Dehalococcoidia bacterium. RNAcentral describes it as "tRNA-Arg". It matches the Rfam family "tRNA". Rfam says of the family: Transfer RNA (tRNA) molecules are approximately 80 nucleotides in length. Their secondary structure includes four short double-helical elements and three loops (D, anti-codon, and T loops). Lineage: Bacteria; Bacillati; Chloroflexota; Dehalococcoidia. The record is from RNAcentral.
GCCCUCGUAGCUCAGUGGAUAGAGCGUUGGUUUCCUAAACCAUGUGCGCAGGUUCAACUCCUGCCGAGGGCACCA